RNA transcript from Diospyros lotus (date-plum), 7639 nucleotides. RefSeq lists it as uncharacterized. The transcript has 7 exons. NCBI's taxonomy places the organism in Eukaryota, Viridiplantae, Streptophyta, Magnoliopsida, Ericales, Ebenaceae. The record is from RefSeq and is a predicted model, not a curated record.
UUGGUCCAUGUAAAAGUGAAUCCCACAUCGAAAGAAUAUUAUUGGAUGCAUUCAUGAACAUCAUAAUAUCUUUGAAUUUCGGUCAAUUUCUUCACAAAUUGGUCGUCGUCCGCGAAGAACAAAUUCGCUCGUUGCAAGCCCUAGGUUUCACGAAAUCUCAACGAUCCGCUCACAAUUACAAUUCCUCUCUCUUACGGUUCGAUUGUUGUUGCGAAGGCGUUCGGGAGUUACAGUUCGAUUGUUGCUGCGGAUCAGCUGGUUCUUCGAAUAGAAAUGGAUCUCUUAAGGGAAGCAAAUCGCCGAAAGCGUGAGGAGAAUGCUCUUAGAUUAAAUGCCAAUCCUCCCAUCCCAAGAAAAAAUGCAAGUGUGCUAACUUGGAAGCGCUCGUGCCUUCGAGAUAAGGAGGCGAGUACCUCUGCCAAUGCCCACUAUGUCGAUUCGGUUAUCCAUACGACAAGGAUACCCUUUCUAGGCUCGCCAAUAUUCGAAGGCACUGCUCAAGAUCCCCCUUCCACUCCUAGUUUCCACGAGGGAAGAGCCACUUUCUCUAGCCCUAGUUUUGAUGAAGACCCCCAUCGAAUUCAAGACAAGUUCAACUAGCCAUUCAUUCCUCAUCGCAAAGAUCGGAAGAAAUUGGAAGUGGAAAAGUUGUUGAGAAACCCCCCAAUUUUGCCGACUAUUGGGGAGCCUUUUUAGGGCUCAAUGCAACUCCUUGACUGUUGAAGGCUUAAGGGCGAGCAUUUCCAAGUUUUCCCUAGAUUGUUAGACACGGAUACUGUGGUCGACCCAAGGGUCGGUGCUCGGCUCAUGCAUUCCUCUAUUUUGCCUAGAGAUGAGCAUCGAUUCUUUGGAAACUUCCCCUAAGUCCUUGAUGAGCCCGAACGGAAGUUAAUUGAGGCGGUCCAAGGAAUAGUGAUGGCCAAUGCUCAAGGGAGGGCUUAUCGUCGAUUUAUGGAGAACCAAAUGGAGAGAUGGAGGGAGCGCAAGGCGAAAUGGGACGAACAUGAGCAACACCUCCAAUUACAAAAUAGUCAACUAGCAUGAGAGGUUGCGGAAUUUCACAUCAAAUUAUCAUAUGCUCACAUCAGUUCCUCAAGCCUCAAGGAGGAGGUUUGGGAUCUUUGUUGAGCCAAUGAAACAUGGGAACAAAAGUGUGGUGAGCUCUAGACGACAUAUGAGACUUUUUCAAGAGCAUGCCCUGCAAGUUGAUGAGUUAGCUCGUUGUCGAUCUCGUGAGCGUGCUUGUCAAGCCCAGCGGGAAGAGGAACUCUCUGUUGCACGGGCUAAAGUAGUCAGGGAUUAUUGCCUCUCCAAAGAUUGCCAUGUGAGGAAGGAGCGCUAUGCCUCCUGCUUCACCAAAUUUGGCUUCUACCUUGCUCGCUCUUAUUUGGAAACACAACGCCCAGAGGAAAUAUUUCCAGAGCUAGUUUUCACGCUUGAAGUGGUAGAUUUCGAUGCCUCUAAUUGGUGAUGUUACGACCCAAAUCCCAUGAGCCCUAAGACUUAUGUCGCUUAUCUCCUUGAGGAUGACCUGAGCAACUUGACAGGCCCUUGGGAGCCAUAUUCCCUAGGGUCAAAGGGCGACAAGAUGAUUAACGCCCUUCAAAACUUGGGGGGGCUACUAGUCAGGAUAGGGUUGAGGAGUUCCCCACUCAUCACGCCUCUCCAUUGACUAUGCAUGAAGAGGGCAAGAUCUCGGGCACCUCAGCUGGCAUCGAUCCUCCUCCUUCCUUUGGUGUCCCCAACAAGCAUAUAGGGUAGAUUUUUAGGGAGAUGUAUUUUCACUUUCAUGUCUUUUGACUUUAUCAUGUAGCUCUCUUCUUUUCUUGAAUAUAAUUUAGCUUUUAGCUUCCUUUUUUCAUUUCUCUGCAUCAUUGAUUAUUGCUGUAUCUAAAUGUUAGUUUUCCAUUAGUUAAAAAGAAAAUAACUAGUUAAAUGCACAAUAAUAAAUUGAGGCAAGCUAAGAGGACCCUUUAUGUUAGUAUGUCCGUUACGGGUUUGACUUUAGGGUUUCUAUCAUUCGGGGCUUGAAUUGUUAAAUUAUAUUGCAUGACAAACGAUGAGUAGUUUCAUUUUAUUUUAACAAUUUAGAUUGCACAUAAAAUUUAAACUUAUGGCAGGCCUUUAGUUACCUCUAUUACAAUUAGCAUAAAAAAAUGAUUUGCACCUUCUGAAAUAACUAUAAUGCCAUUAUACUAUUUAGAGUCAAGACCUUCCAUGUUAGCAAUAAGAUACCCUUCUACUGAAGUUAUCUUAACAUUUUUAUUGCUUGUUUUAACCCCAGCUAAGGAAUCCUCAACUUUUCUUAAAACCAAAUCCCAUACAUUAGUUGAUUCUCCAUAUAUUGGACUAGGCACCUGGGUAAUGCAAGGGACUUUGCUUCCUUUGUCAAUCCCUUCAUUAAUCCUUCGUUUGCUUAUUUUGGUUGCAUAACAACUAUACCCAAAUUAAUGUCAAUAGAAUUCUCCUUCAGUGGAGUUUCAAUAUUAUUUGUAGUAGGCAAACUACCUACCUUCUGUAGUGUCAGCAGCCAAUAUAUCUCCUUCCACAACAACUCCAUCAUUUGAAUCAACCAUCUUCGAUGGUGUCGCAGUGACUAUUCCUACAAUUGCCAUCCCUGUCUAGAAUCGGAUGCAUGAAAGCUAUCCUCCUCGCAGUUCUCACCUCCAGUUUGAUUUAUAGCCUGCAUACCCACUAAAUCACCAGCUUCUUGCAAUUGUAAGAUGUGACCCACAUGGCUUUCCUUGACAAUUGUGACAUGAUUCAUUUCAACGUUUUUCUCCUUCGUUAGAGCUUCAAUAAUUGCUCCAAUAGCUGCCCUUCCUCCCUUGUCAUCUUGAAUAACUUACUUCUUGCAAUCAUUAAUUCGAAUCUUAGGGGCUCAGUAGUCUUAGGAAUACCUCCCAUCUAUUAUAGCAUAACCGUUAAGCUAACGCCUGUGCUUUUUAGAAAUUGCUUCCAAUGUCGUUUAAUGAAACCUUGCCCUUUCCACCACCUGUUUUACUAUGGUAGGACACAUCAUUCUCACAAUAGGUCUUAACACAUCGUUAAAACCAUCAAUGAAUUUCAACACAAAGUAAGACUCCUUCAAGGUCAGUUGAUAAUUAAGCAUCACCGCUUUCAAUUCCUCAAUUUUGACCUCAUAAUCCAUUAUUUACCCUUUUUGCGUUAGAUUAUUGAAUUCAUCUCUAAGUUGAUUUAAGGAAGUAGAGUACUCCUUAGAGAAGCAUUCAACAUGAACACUAACUUGAUAUUUUUGUGAGAAUAGAAUCAUCAAGUUGUCCAGCUUUCAUUAGAGGUUAUCCAAUUCAUUUCUCGUUGCGACCCAUUCCUCCUUGAGUGUUUUCUCCCUUGACUAUGCACUUCCACCAAGUGUUGCGGCCUUUUGCACAGUUUAAUUUCCUUUGAAAAUCUUUCAUAAAUUAACUUGCUCUACUACGAUCUUUCCAAAAGCACAAUUGGUUUCUGUUGCUGCUAAGAAUCGAUUAGAAAUUGCCUCACAAGCAGCGACCUAGAUCAUUGGAUAGUCGAUACCCUCACAGCAGUCUCCUAGGGGAAUUGAUCGCCUCACAGCAGUUCAAACUUAGAGGUGCUUGGUCAAUUAGCCAAGUAUUCCUCUUGCUUCGCCUUUGCAAUUCAAACUUAGAGGUGCUCGGUCUGCUUUGCCUUCAAUUGUCAGACAACACCUACUAAAUUUCACAAUUGAGAGUCAAUUAUCGAAUUCUCCUUCGAAAUUCAAUUUGAGAGACUUGCUUGUUCUGAAUCUGCUACUAGAGGUUGUAGUUAGAAUUCGACAGUCAAAAAUAUGUUGUGUUCGUUGAUGUUCACAGUCAAGCCUAGAGUUGCUUCUGACUGCACCUUUCUCCUCGCUUGACCUCUGGUUUUGCAACUAAUCAACGACUGCAAUUGACAACAGCCACAACUCCUACUUUCUCACCUAACUCACUCGUGAACCCCCUAUUCAUUUGCGUCGCCAACUUCGACAAAUCUCCCGCCCCAGUCGUCAGCUUUAGUUGCAAACCUCUUGGCCAUCCGCAUCACCACCUUCGACAAACUCCUACACCAAUCACGAAUGUUGUCUAUUCACAUCGUCUUAGGUGUGCUUGCCUAUUGACCCACUCUAAUUGCGAAUGCUUCUCUAUUUGCGUUGCCUCUAAUGUGCUCGCCUCUGGUAACGCUUUGUGCGCGUCACCACCGGUGUGCUCACCUAUCAACCCGCCUUUGUUUGGCUGCCAAGACCGUGGGCUUUGGAUUGCCUGACUUCUCGACCUUUCGUAACUUAAUCGACUUCGUUCAUCCCUUUGAUAAUCGCCUGAACAACGCCUCUGAUCCGAAAUUGUUUUCUAGAAUUUGCAGCCUUGAAUCAAAGAAUUAGAGGGAAAGAAUUUCAAUAUCAUUUCACACAUAAUCCAUAUUCUUACAAGUGGCCCUUUUAUAAACAUAGCUAGCUGUUAAUUGAAUUCCUAAUAGGCACAUGUGUGCUCCUAAUAGAUUACAAAACAUCUUCUAACAAACUAUUAUAACUCUAUUAUAAUAUUGCCCCUCUAUUGCUCCUAGAGUCAUGACAAUAGUGAUCCCUCAAAGUGUGUUAUUGAAGAUUUGAUGUAACUCUUACUCAAAAUUUGGAUCUCUUCUCUAUGCAAGUCUUCCUGCCGCUCUUGUGUACAAGGCAUUUCUUUCAUACAAAUCCUCCCUCAUAAUGUAUUUCAAAGCUAUGAAUGCAUAGUCUUUCCUAUGACUUUUUUGUUGUAGAGUUUAUUUUUUCCCUGUAUAAUGUGCUUCACCUUUCAAGUUCUUGUGAAGAAGGGGUUGAAAACAUCAAUACUAUUUCAAGCCAUAGAUUGCCCUGUUGGUGAAGCUCUUGGACUGAUACUGAAUAAACAAACCUGGGAAUUAUUCAUUGUUCUUCUAAGGCCAUUUGUACUAUUGACCUGUAAGUUCCAAAAACUCUGCCACCGUUAACCCCCCACCCAAAAAAAUAAAAAAUAAAACAAAAGAAAGGGUAUAACCUUAGGUGAUUCCUAUAGUUGUCAGGUCCAUGGGAGAUUCAAUUGAGUCAUUCCUCUUUCAUUGUUGUGGGCCCCAUCAGAGACUCAGACCAUGAUGGGCCCCUCGAUUCCUCAAGAAAAUCAGACCUAGCAUGAUAAGGCGCAUCAUGUGAUUGGUUGGCCAAUAUUAUGCCCUACAUCAGUUAGAGAUGGAAUAACAUAGCUGACAGUAAUUGCUUUUAGGAUGUGAGCCCGUAACACAUAGUUGUACAUCUGACCCCAAUUGAGGGAUGCAAAUGAAUAAGGUGUCCCGUGCAUCUCUCUGACCAUGUUGAGGAGAACAGGUGUGAGUCAAAUCAUGACAUAUUGAAAAUUAUAUUCUUGGCAGGUACACCCAUUCUACCAGGUAUCACCCUUGCUAGUAAAAAAUACAAAUCUUUUUAUCUAGGGGGAAAGAACUAGGAUGAAAAAGUUUUAAGAAUUUUUCUUCAAGAGCACGAUUGAUUCUGUUAGAUUUAAUUGUCUGCUUCCAUGACUGCCCUCUUUACCACAUAAUUAAUUUGAUUCUCGACUUCUUAAUCUCUGACCAUUUCAGAAGUCCUUGUUCAUGUUGCAGUAGGUUUAGUAGUCAGAUCUCUUAUAUUAAUAAUAGCAACAGCUUUUGUCUGCUUUUAUGUAGUAUUUGGAGAGAGAACUUUAUAAUGUGUUUUCAAGAGGAGUAAGAUAUAUUAAUAUGGAUUUCCUUCUUUUUAGUCUUAGUAUAUUCUUUGUUAACUGAAUAUAUUAAAAAUAUAUUUCAACAGAUAUAUUCUUAUUAUAGCACAAAGUUCUGGAUAUUGAUGGAUCACAAUAAAGUUGUUAGCUUUCAUUUAAGAAGCUUAAUCCUAAUAAAACCAGCAUUUGUUUUGUGUUAAAAUGCGGAAAUAUAGAAUAAAACCAAGUUAGGACACUUACCUUGAUGAUUCCAUAAGAGUAGCAAUUGAUUUAAUUCAUUCCAAGCCUUAGUGUAAAUCAUUAAUGGAAAUACACUGUCAAUCACAAUCCUAUUUAUCAUAAGUUUUGUUUCAAUAUGCGGAAAAUGGACCUUUUGAUGGGAUGGGAGAGUUUUUGCGCCUUGAUUCUUGUUUUUUUUUUUUUUUUUUCACCUUUGCAUGGUCCAUAUAUAUAGUUGCCCAACAGUUGCAACUACUUUAAAAAUAAAAUAAAAUUGGUGCAACCAUUUUCAACAGUUGCAUCUUUUUAAAUAUAUAUUAUAUAUAUUUUUUUUAUUUUAAGCAAAACGGAUCUGGGUCUGGGUCAACCCGUCAUGGGAGCCCAGCCCGAUCCAAAUACCAACAUUUUGUGUAAACAGACUCGUUUCAGUUAAAAUCCUAACUCAAAAUCUAUUUAAAUCAUAACAUGCUAUUGACAUAUAAGCAGCAGUCUGAAAGCAAAAAUGUUCAAUCAAAAGAUCAAACAAGUUUUGGUUUAUUGGGGUCAAGGCAAGCUUGGAAAGUAGGUUGAUUUGUGGCAGUUUUCUUGCUUAGCUGAGUUCUCCUAUUUGUGAAUUAACUGAAAUGUGAGGCCCUAUCAGUUGUUGGGUCUAUUCAAUGAUGAACAAUGUGCCUUAACCUUUCCUUUUUAGUUCUUUGUUUGCGUUCUUAUUUCUUUUGUCACAAUGAUAAUGCUCCAAGAUUGGGUAUACUUGUGCAACUUUAUCUGUCUAUAUAUUCUCUUAAUGAAAUGAUACACACUUGAAUAAAAUGCCUGGUUGCUGCCGCAAAGCAGAUGAUGCAUUUAUUCUUUAUUCAAGUUAUAAUUUCCUUUGCAUCCUAACUUGCUUAGUAUUCUUCUCUUCAUGUUGGAAGACCAUUUCCAUUGUUUAAGAUGUGGAGGUGCUUUUGUGAUAUCUCAGACCAGGGGUAAUGGCUGGCAAGGCUGCGAAAAUGGAAGUUAUUGCUUUUCCAUCCCUUCCAAAGCAAUCCCAUCUUUACACCUCCGCAGAUGAGGUUAAUCAGCUCUCUUCUUGAUUUGCGACCGGAAAAGUGGGGCCUGCCAGCAUUUGAAGACUGUAAACCUCUAUCACAAUUUUUCAAGCAAAGUAGGGUUUGGUUGUUAUCGAUCAUUUUUAUGAAAUUCAGUCACCUGUGUUUUGCAGGGAUAGAGGGUACAUUACCCCUAGAACCUGGGGUAUAUUGGGGGCCCCGUUGUUAAAGGAUUUGGCCGCGGCUCAAAGGUGCUUGGCAUUUCUACAGGCUAUUCAACUGACCUUUCGGAGCAUCCUCCUGGGGUAUGCUUUGGUUGGGUCUGGAUGGUCGACACGUGGGCUUUAUAAGAUGGUCAUGAGUAUUGGUUGGAAUCCCUACUUCAACAAUGCUUGAGAGAAGACCAUAAGAGAGCACUUGACCUUCCAUUGUAAGCCAAAGUCCAGAGAAGACCCCAUAUCUGAAACUGAAACCCAUCCUCUUCCCACAUGGAUAACAGUCAUCUAUGGCUUCUCCUAAACCUUUAUUUGUUUGAUUAUUUAUUUGUUUAUUCUCACUUGAUCAAAUUGACAAGUGAUUGUUGUUCUCUAAAGAUCCCACGAGAAUUUAUGUAGUCACUACACGCUAUUAUUGUUAUUUAGAACGUAAAGUCGUAAUAUUAAUCUCAUCAAUGUGCAAAAUAAUGAC